This 253-nucleotide ribosomal RNA is filed under the name uncultured bacterium. Its description in RNAcentral is "partial 16S ribosomal RNA". It matches the Rfam family "Bacterial small subunit ribosomal RNA", at positions 524 to 776 of the family's 1533-position model. The record is from RNAcentral.
UACGAAGGGGGCUAGCGUUGUUCGGAAUUACUGGGCGUAAAGCGCGCGUAGGCGGACGUUUAAGUCAGGGGUGAAAUGCCGGGGCUCAACCUCGGAACUGCCUUUGAUACUGGAUGUCUGGAGUUCGGGAGAGGUGAGUGGAAUUCCGAGUGUAGAGGUGAAAUUCGUAGAUAUUCGGAAGAACACCAGUGGCGAAGGCGACUUACUGGACACAUAUUGACGCUGAGGUGCGAAAGCGUGGGGAGCAAACAGG